CCUGGCGGCAGUAGCGCGGUGGUCCCACCUGACCCCAUGCCGAACUCAGAAGUGAAACGCCGUAGCGCCGAUGGUAGUGUGGGGUCUCCCCAUGCG
This 96-nucleotide ribosomal RNA is filed under the name Escherichia coli. RNAcentral also lists the same sequence under 2 other names. The record is from RNAcentral. Lineage: Bacteria; Pseudomonadati; Pseudomonadota; Gammaproteobacteria; Enterobacterales; Enterobacteriaceae.